This 95-nucleotide small nuclear RNA is filed under the name Nannospalax galili (Upper Galilee mountains blind mole rat). Lineage: Eukaryota; Metazoa; Chordata; Mammalia; Rodentia; Spalacidae. The record is from RNAcentral.
UUGCUUUGUCAGUACAUAUACUAAAGUUGGAAUGAUGCAGAGAAGAGUAGCAUGGCCCCUGUGCAUGACACAUUCCCUAUUUGUUAAGUAUUCUU